GACGAACGCUGGCGGCGUGCCUAAUACAUGCAAGUAGAACGCUGAAGGAGGAGCUUGCUUCUCCGGAUGAGUUGCGAACGGGUGAGUAACGCGUAGGUAACCUGCCUGGUAGCGGGGGAUAACUAUUGGAAACGAUAGCUAAUACCGCAUAAGAGUAGAUGUUGCAUGACAUUUACUUAAAAGGUGCAAUUGCAUCACUACCAGAUGGACCUGCGUUGUAUUAGCUAGUUGGUGGGGUAACGGCUCACCAAGGCGACGAUACAUAGCCGACCUGAGAGGGUGAUCGGCCACACUGGGACUGAGACACGGCCCAGACUCCUACGGGAGGCAGCAGUAGGGAAUCUUCGGCAAUGGACGGAAGUCUGACCGAGCAACGCCGCGUGAGUGAAGAAGGUUUUCGGAUCGUAAAGCUCUGUUGUAAGAGAAGAACGAGUGUGAGAGUGGAAAGUUCACACUGUGACGGUAUCUUACCAGAAAGGGACGGCUAACUACGUGCCAGCAGCCGCGGUAAUACGUAGGUCCCGAGCGUUGUCCGGAUUUAUUGGGCGUAAAGCGAGCGCAGGCGGUUAGAUAAGUCUGAAGUUAAAGGCUGUGGCUUAACCAUAGUACGCUUUGGAAACUGUUUAACUUGAGUGCAAGAGGGGAGAGUGGAAUUCCAUGUGUAGCGGUGAAAUGCGUAGAUAUAUGGAGGAACACCGGUGGCGAAAGCGGCUCUCUGGCUUGUAACUGACGCUGAGGCUCGAAAGCGUGGGUAGCAAACAGG
RNAcentral lists this ribosomal RNA (763 nucleotides) under uncultured Streptococcus sp. RNAcentral's name for it is "bacterial SSU rRNA". It matches the Rfam family "Bacterial small subunit ribosomal RNA", at positions 28 to 776 of the family's 1533-position model. The record is from RNAcentral. Lineage: Bacteria; Bacillati; Bacillota; Bacilli; Lactobacillales; Streptococcaceae.